UUGGACGCUGGCGGCAUGCCUUACACAUGCAAGUCGAACGGUAGAGGGGCAACCCUUGAGAGUGGCGAACGGGUGAGUAAUGCAUCGGAACGUGCCCAGUCGUGGGGGAUAACGCAGCGAAAGCUGUGCUAAUACCGCAUGUGAUCUGUGGAUGAAAGCAGGGGACCGCAAGGCCUUGUGCGAUUGGAGCGGCCGAUGUCAGAUUAGCUAGUUGGUAGGGUAAAAGCCUACCAAGGUCGACGAUCUGUAGCUG
RNAcentral lists this ribosomal RNA (253 nucleotides) under uncultured bacterium. Its description in RNAcentral is "partial 16S ribosomal RNA". It matches the Rfam family "Bacterial small subunit ribosomal RNA", at positions 30 to 289 of the family's 1533-position model. The record is from RNAcentral.